Molecule: long non-coding RNA, 1908 nt
Organism: Poecile atricapillus (Black-capped chickadee)
Lineage: Eukaryota; Metazoa; Chordata; Aves; Passeriformes; Paridae
Exons: 2
Source: RefSeq, a predicted model, not a curated record
GGGCUCUUUGAACUGAAGGCUCCAGUAAAAAAAGAAAAAAAAAGAGAGAAGAAGAGAAGACAGCGAAAAGCUGGAAAAAAGGAGAAGACAGCGGAAAGCUGGAAAACUCCCUGGAAAGGGGAAAAAGAAGAUCUCGGUAAUCCCGGUGCUGGUGAGAGCGGACAAGCCAAGCCAGACGUCUGUGAGCUGUGGAACGGAUCACGGAUAGAGGAGCUGAGAGAAAGCUGACCCUGAGGUCAGUCUAUGUUUGUGUAUUCACAGGUUUAAAGCAGAAGUAACUUCCUAGAGAAGAACAUGGAAACUCAUCAGCUGCAGAGACAAGCAGACAGCCUAAAGAGCAGAAGAGCGAGCAUGCUGAUGUGAACUGUAUCAAAACCACAGUUGACAGCAGAACAGCUUGAAUCCAACAUGCAAGAACAAUGGACUUUGGGUUUCAAGUGAAAAAGUGGGAAAAUUAAUAUUGUAAAGCCUCAUUUGUUAAAACAUGAGUGAAAGAAAAAUAACCUUUCUUGAAAAGUAAUCCAAGAAAAGAUUUAGGUUGAUUUUUUUUUAAUUUUUUUUUAAAAAAGAGAGGGGCAGAUGUUGGAGUCUGAGAUACAGACUGUGUGCCCUUGCUUUUAAUAUUUAGUUCCAGGAUUCAAAGAAACACUGAAUUUCAUAUAAUAUGAAAUUCAUGUGCAUGUUUUCAUGGUGAUACAUGAAAACAAAUGUUAAAGUUAAAUAGGAAAUGUGUAAAUGUGUAGAUUAGAAAGUUUCUUAAAUCACUGGGUGAAAAAGUAGUUUAGAGAACAGGAGACAAGAUGGAGGAUUUAGGGUGUUGUCUCUUGUCCUUCUUCUUUCUCCUUCAUGUUCCUCUCCUAGGGGUUUUUGGGUAGUAGUAAGUGAUUGGGUAGAAAAUGUCACAGUGCAGCACACAGGUGUUAGGUCAUUGGGUCACUAAGAAAAAUAGCUUAGUUGGCAUCUGUUAAUUGGGUAAAUAGACAUAUAAAAGACCUUGAAGAAGAUCUUUGUUAGCCAUUUUACCCCUUUUCUAUCAUAGUGCACAUAGCUCCUUGUACCUUGUAAUGCUGAUAAGAAAAAAUAAACAACUGAGACCGAACGAGAGAAAAAACCGCCUCCCUCUCAUCAAUCUUCAGUUCAAAGGGAAAAAGAACCCAAAUCUAAAAGUCCCUAAACAGACAGGCAAACAGCUUCAGGAGAAUCAGUUUCCACCCAUGAGGGGAAUAAAAUUGUGCCAGGUCAUAGCUCAGUCUUAGGUGGGAGAGGAAUGAAGCCUGCCCAGAUGGACGAGGUGGAGUUCAUAGUGGAGAACUUAAUGGUCACAGUCCCACAAGUGCUGGCCAGGGGGGAGGUCUUCAGACACUCCACCAAUACUGAGCAGAUUGUUUCCAGCUUUAGGAAGAAUAUCCCCUGAAAUUGCAUCUACAUGACACUGAGCAGGCAGAAAACCUCUCCUUUUUUUUCUUUUUGGUACUCCUUUGACAGCGAGCUGCACAGCCUAGAGAAGCGGGAAUUAAGUGAAUUAUGGUGCACAGGGGUAAAAAGCUUGUGAAGGAUAAAAGAGGGAUGACUAGAGACCAGAAGUUAAAACAAGGGGAGAUGGAAAAGGACUGGAAGAAAAUGGAUUUUGUAGAAGCAGACUUGCCCAUAGCUCUGGAAGAGUACUCUGCAUUUUGCUGUGGUUCAGCUUUGAAUUUAUUCUGCUGAUUCUAUAUAAUUCUAAAAUUCAAUUCAUAAUAACCUCCUAUUCACUAUAACCACCUUUCUUAUGGGUAUCUCCUUGUGUCAAUACUAUCUCCAUAUGUCAAUUUGCUAUGACAUUUUCCUUGGUUUAUCAAAGCGACAGACAUUGCACUCUGCUUCAAAAUGAUCUACUCUUAUGAAUAAAGAAAUACCGAUAUUUUCCAA